Molecule: ribosomal RNA, 414 nt
Filed under: uncultured bacterium
Lineage: Bacteria
Description: bacterial SSU rRNA
Rfam family: Bacterial small subunit ribosomal RNA
Source: RNAcentral
GGGCCCGCACAAGCGGUGGAGCAUGUGGUUUAAUUCGAUGAUACGCGAGGAACCUUACCAGGGCUUAAAUGUAGUGGGACAGGUCUAGAGAUAGACCCUUCUUCGGACUCAUUACAAGGUGCUGCAUGGUUGUCGUCAGCUCGUGCCGUGAGGUGUCAGGUUAAGUCCUAUAACGAGCGCAACCCCUAUCGUUAGUUGCCAGCGAGUAAUGUCGGGAACUCUAACGAAACUGCCAGUGCAAACUGUGAGGAAGGUGGGGAUGACGUCAAAUCAUCACGGCCCUUACGUCCUGGGCUACACACGUGCUACAAUGGCCGGUACAGAGAGCAGCCACUUCGCAAGAAGGAGCGAAUCUAUUAAAACCGGUCUCAGUUCGGAUUGUCGUCUGCAACUCGACGGCAUGAAGUCGGAAUC